This 1839-nucleotide ribosomal RNA is filed under the name Curtobacterium sp. PhB131. Its description in RNAcentral is "bacterial LSU rRNA". It matches the Rfam family "Bacterial large subunit ribosomal RNA", at positions 1 to 1653 of the family's 2925-position model. The record is from RNAcentral. Lineage: Bacteria; Bacillati; Actinomycetota; Actinomycetes; Micrococcales; Microbacteriaceae.
GUGGUCAAGUUUCUAAGAGCAAACGGUGGAUGCCUUGGCAUCUGGAGCCGAAGAAGGACGUAGAAAUCUGCGAUAAGCCUCGGGGAGCUGAUAAUCGAGCCCUGAUCCGAGGAUUUCCGAAUGGGGAAACCCCGCUGGGCGCUUUUGUGACCUGGUGACUCCCGCCUGAAUAUAUAGGGCGGGUAGAGGGAACGUGGGGAAGUGAAACAUCUCAGUACCCACAGGAAGAGAAAACAACAUGUGAUUCCGUGAGUAGUGGCGAGCGAAAGCGGAUGAGGCUAAACCGAUCAUGUGUGAUAGCCGGCGGGCGUUGCAUGGUCGGGGUUGUGGGACACGUCACUCAGUUCUGCCGGACUGGGGCGGUUACAGCGCAUCAUAGUCGAACCGGUUUGAAAGCCGGGCCGUAGUGGGUGCCAGCCCCGUAGACGAAAUGGUGUUAUGGCCGGAUGUGUAUCCCAAGUAGCACGGGGCCCGAGAAAUCCCGUGUGAAUCUGUCAGGACCACCUGAUAAGCCUAAAUACUCCCAGAUGACCGAUAGCGGACAAGUACCGUGAGGGAAAGGUGAAAAGUACCCCGGGAGGGGAGUGAAAUAGUACCUGAAACCGUUUGCUUACAAACCGUCGGAGCCUCCUUAGUAGGGGUGACGGCGUGCCUUUUGAAGAAUGAGCCUGCGAGUUAGUGAUAUGUGGCGAGGUUAACCCGUGUGGGGCAGCCGUAGCGAAAGCGAGUCUGAAUAGGGCGUUUGAGUCGCAUGUUCUAGACCCGAAGCGAAGUGAUCUAUCCAUGGCCAGGUUGAAGCGACGGUAAGACGUCGUGGAGGACCGAACCCACUUCAGUUGAAAAUGGAGGGGAUGAGCUGUGGAUAGGGGUGAAAGGCCAAUCAAACUUCGUGAUAGCUGGUUCUCUCCGAAAUGCAUUUAGGUGCAGCGUUGCGUGUUUCUCGCCGGAGGUAGAGCUACUGGAUGGCCGAUGGGCCUCAACAGGUUACUGACGUCAGCCAAACUCCGAAUGCCGGUGAGUGAGAGCGCAGCAGUGAGACGGUGGGGGAUAAGCUUCAUCGUCGAGAGGGAAACAACCCAGACUACCAACUAAGGUCCCUAAGCGUGUGCUAAGUGGGAAAGGAUGUGGAGUUGCAUAGACAACCAGGAGGUUGGCUUAGAAGCAGCCACCCUUGAAAGAGUGCGUAAUAGCUCACUGGUCAAGUGAUUCCGCGCCGACAAUGUAACGGGGCUCAAGCACACCACCGAAGUUGUAGAUUUCGCACACUCGACAAGCCUUCGUGGUUCAGUCGUGCGGAGUGGUAGGAGAGCGUCGUGUGGCGAGUGAAGCGGCGGAGUGAUCCAGCCGUGGACGCUACACGAGUGAGAAUGCAGGCAUGAGUAGCGAAAGACGGGUGAGAAACCCGUCCUCCGAAAGACCAAGGGUUCCAGGGCCAGGUUAAUCCGCCCUGGGUAAGUCGGGACCUAAGGCGAGGCCGACAGGCGUAGUCGAUGGACAACGGGUUGAUAUUCCCGUACCGGCGAACAACCGCCCAAGCUAAUCCAGUGGUGCUAAGAGUCCUAACCCGGAUCAACCGGAUCCCUUCGGGGUGAUGGUGGCCGGUCUAACGCUCGACCCCAUGCUGGUGCGGUUAGCGUAUGAACAGGUGUGACGCAGGAAGGUAGCUGAGCCAGGCGAUGGUAUCCGUAAGGUGAACCUGGUGUAAGGAUGUAGGGCUGACGAUAGGCAAAUCCGUCGUCUGUACGCCUGAGAUCCGACGCGUACCCGUAAGGGGAAAUCAGUGAUCCUAUGCUGCCGAGAAAAGCAUCGACGCGAGGUUGCAGCCGCCCGUACCCGAAA